RNAcentral lists this ribosomal RNA (253 nucleotides) under uncultured bacterium. RNAcentral's name for it is "partial 16S ribosomal RNA". It matches the Rfam family "Bacterial small subunit ribosomal RNA", at positions 524 to 776 of the family's 1533-position model. The record is from RNAcentral.
UACGAGGGGGGCGAGCGUUGUUCGGAUUCAUUGGGCGUAAAGGGUGCGUAGGCGGUCUGCUAAGUUUGAUGUGAAAUCCCGGGGCUUAACCCUGGAAUGGCAUUGAAUACUGGCGGACUCGAGUACCGGAGAGGAAACUGGAAUUUACGGUGUAGCAGUGAAAUGCGUAGAGAUCGUAAGGAAGACCAGUGGCGAAGGCGGGUCUCUGGGCCAUUACUGACGCUGAGGAGCGAAAGCGUGGGGAGCGAACAGG